RNAcentral lists this ribosomal RNA (251 nucleotides) under uncultured bacterium. Its description in RNAcentral is "partial 16S ribosomal RNA". It matches the Rfam family "Bacterial small subunit ribosomal RNA", at positions 525 to 775 of the family's 1533-position model. The record is from RNAcentral.
ACGGAGGGUGCAAGCGUUAUCCGGAUUCACUGGGUUUAAAGGGUGCGUAGGUGGGCAGAUAAGUCAGUGGUGAAAUCUUCCGGCUUAACCGGGAAACUGCCGUUGAUACUAUUUGUCUUGAAUAUUGCGGAGGUAAGCGGAAUAUGUCAUGUAGCGGUGAAAUGCUUAGAUAUGACAUAGAACACCAAUUGCGAAGGCAGCUUACUACACAAUCAUUGACACUGAGGCACGAAAGCGUGGGUAGCGAACAG